RNAcentral lists this long non-coding RNA (201 nucleotides) under Homo sapiens (human). RNAcentral's name for it is "HSALNT0170589". The record is from RNAcentral. Lineage: Eukaryota; Metazoa; Chordata; Mammalia; Primates; Hominidae.
UUUUUUUUAUUUCCACUGGGAUUUCUUCUUUAGCCCCUGAGUUAUUUUAACAAUGUGAACAGAUUGGUUUUUUCUUACUUUUUAUUGAGAUAUACAUGCAGAAAAAUGCAGAUAUCACAAACAUACAACUUGAAGGAUUUUCACACCGAACAUCUGUGUAAGCAGCACCCAGAUGGAUGGCAGCAGCUCCUGCCUGUUCCC